CCCACAUCUUCAUGGAUAUUAGUCGGGUUCAUUUCCACUGAGCCACAUGGGGGCUCCACUCAAGUCUUUUCUAAUGGUACGUAAAGUGAGCGGGCACUUCAGGGAAAGCCCCUUUAAUGGGCUGAUCCAAAUCCUCCACACUUCCCAGGAGCUCAUUAAGAGAAGCUCAUCGUGAACAUCAGAUAUCCUGGCUCCAGCUUCCAGGCACAGGGCUUCAACUGACACUGGUGUGGAAAAGAAAGAAGUAGUGGGUCCCUGAAUUCUCUCCAGAGUAUAGUUCAAACCUGGCAGGUCAGAAGAGAGAGCCUGAGGGAGCGAAGCUCUGAUGUGUGGGGAGGGAAGGAGAUAGAAGACACCCCACGUAGAAAAGAACGAAAUCCUGUUCUUUUGCAAGGCAGGCCUGAAAACCGAAACGUGGUCUGGAACCAAACCUGCAACAUUUCCCAGGUAUGCCUGUGUACCAGAGUUAAAAUGUUGACCACUUACUGGAAACCUGAUGCUGAAAAAAACUGCUAAAUUUCCCUGGAUGGCCUGACUUUUCAAUGUUACAAAUGGAAAUACCAGCAGCUCUAAGGACAUCAAGGUUGUGUAUGUAAAGCACCUCACGUGUCAUCAAGCGCACGGGAGACACUGAAUAAUAAGGGACUGUUAUUAUCCAAGUACAGGCUUUUAUUGUCUACCUAUCAGCCAGGCAACUCGAAAGUAACCAGGCCAACCCGACUGCAGAGAUUCUGACACAAACACCCAGUGAUUUACCCUACGGCCUCUUCUCCAGCUCUGCCAAACCACAGAAACACAAGCAGCUUUUCACUGUUCCUUCCUCUGGUCUGCAGGUUAAGCCCCAAAUGGAGCCACACCCAGAACCAUUGUCCUGAUUGUUACUGACGAGCUGAGCUAAGUUCAGAAAACCCCAAGUUCUUACUUCUUGGCGAUGGUAACUUGGUUAGUAUCUGAUAUAUUGGAAAGCAGCCCUGGGAGCUGACCUGUGGCUUUUCCAGGCAUCCCCUUGCCUGGAAUGUGUGGGAUAAGCCAGGACCUGAUGUACCUCCUCAGAGCAAAUCCAACUUCAGAGUCCAGUGGCUGGGGCCUCUAAGUCCCUCCCACAACCCCUGUGCCCUCCUCAUUGCUUCUGGCUGCAAAAGUUUGGUCAAAGGGAACCCCAAGGGAAAUCUUUCCACAAAAAAUUCUUCCACUGGAAUAAGUGUAAAAGAAACCUGGUGAGAAACUCUAAGGGCUCUUUUUCCCUGACCAUAUGGCUGUCCCAUAUACAUUUGUUGUUGUUGUUGUUGUUUUGUUUUUUAGGGCUGCACCUGCGACAUAUGGAAGU
Non-coding RNA from Sus scrofa (pig), 1327 nucleotides. The record is from RefSeq and is a predicted model, not a curated record. Lineage: Eukaryota; Metazoa; Chordata; Mammalia; Artiodactyla; Suidae.